UACGUAGGGUGCAAGCGUUAAUCGGAAUACUGGCGUAAAGCGUGCGCAGGCGGUGAUGUAAGACAGGUGUGAAAUCCCCGGGCUUAACCUGGGAACUGCAUUUGUGACUGCAUCGCUGGAGUGCGGCAGAGGGGGAUGGAAUUCCGCGUGUAGCAGUGAAAUGCGUAGAUAUCGGGAGGAACACCCGUAGCGAAGGCGGCACUCUGGGCCGGAACUGACGCUGAGGAGCGAAAGCGUGGGGAGCAAA
Molecule: ribosomal RNA, 247 nt
Filed under: uncultured bacterium
Lineage: Bacteria
Description: partial 16S ribosomal RNA
Rfam family: Bacterial small subunit ribosomal RNA
Source: RNAcentral